This 74-nucleotide transfer RNA is filed under the name Lucilia cuprina (Australian sheep blowfly). RNAcentral's name for it is "tRNA-Asn". It matches the Rfam family "tRNA". Rfam says of the family: Transfer RNA (tRNA) molecules are approximately 80 nucleotides in length. Lineage: Eukaryota; Metazoa; Arthropoda; Insecta; Diptera; Calliphoridae. The record is from RNAcentral.
GCCUCCGUGGCGCAAUUGGCUAGCGCGUUCGGCUGUUAACCGAAAGGUUGGUGGUUCGAGCCCAUCCGGGGGCG